AUUUAAGUAGUUUAAAGAAAAUAUUGAUUUGUGGUAUCAAUGAUAUAAAAUAUUAUCUUAAGUU
Molecule: transfer RNA, 64 nt
Filed under: Latridiidae sp. 1 KM-2017
Lineage: Eukaryota; Metazoa; Arthropoda; Insecta; Coleoptera; Latridiidae
Description: tRNA-His
Source: RNAcentral